GAACUCUGGUAUUGAUUGGUGCUUGCAUCAUGAUUUACAUUUGAGUGAGUGGCGAACUGGUGAGUAACACGUGGGAAACCUGCCCAGAAGCGGGGGAUAACACCUGGAAACAGAUGCUAAUACCGCAUAACAACUUGGACCGCAUGGUCCGAGUUUGAAAGAUGGCUUCGGCUAUCACUUUUGGAUGGUCCCGCGGCGUAUUAGCUAGAUGGUGGGGUAACGGCUCACCAUGGCAAUGAUACGUAGCCGACCUGAGAGGGUAAUCGGCCACAUUGGGACUGAGACACGGCCCAAACUCCUACGGGAGGCAGCAGUAGGGAAUCUUCCACAAUGGACGAAAGUCUGAUGGAGCAACGCCGCGUGAGUGAAGAAGGGUUUCGGCUCGUAAAACUCUGUUGUUAAAGAAGAACAUAUCUGAGAGUAACUGUUCAGGUAUUGACGGUAUUUAACCAGAAAGCCACGGCUAACUACGUGCCAGCAGCCGCGGUAAUACGUAGGUGGCAAGCGUUGUCCGGAUUUAUUGGGCGUAAAGCGAGCGCAGGCGGUUUUUUAAGUCUGAUGUGAAAGCCUUCGGCUCAACCGAAGAAGUGCAUCGGAAACUGGGAAACUUGAGUGCAGAAGAGGACAGUGGAACUCCAUGUGUAGCGGUGAAAUGCGUAGAUAUAUGGAAGAACACCAGUGGCGAAGGCGGCUGUCUGGUCUGUAACUGACGCUGAGGCUCGAAAGUAUGGGUAGCAAACAGGAUUAGAUACCCUGGUAGUCCAUACCGUAAACGAUGAAUGCUAAGUGUUGGAGGGUUUCCGCCCUUCAGUGCUGCAGCUAACGCAUUAAGCAUUCCGCCUGGGGAGUACGGCCGCAAGGCUGAAACUCAAAGGAAUUGACGGGGGCCCGCACAAGCGGUGGAGCAUGUGGUUUAAUUCGAAGCUACGCGAAGAACCUUACCAGGUCUUGACAUACUAUGCAAAUCUAAGAGAUUAGACGUUCCCUUCGGGGACAUGGAUACAGGUGGUGCAUGGUUGUCGUCAGCUCGUGUCGUGAGAUGUUGGGUUAAGUCCCGCAACGAGCGCAACCCUUAUUAUCAGUUGCCAGCAUUAAGUUGGGCACUCUGGUGAGACUGCCGGUGACAAACCGGAGGAAGGUGGGGAUGACGUCAAAUCAUCAUGCCCCUUAUGACCUGGGCUACACACGUGCUACAAUGGAUGGUACAACGAGUUGCGAACUCGCGAGAGUAAGCUAAUCUCUUAAAGCCAUUCUCAGUUCGGAUUGUAGGCUGCAACUCGCCUACAUGAAGUCGGAAUCGCUAGUAAUCGCGGAUCAGCAUGCCGCGGUGAAUACGUUCCCGGGCCUUGUACACACCGCCCGUCACACCAUGAGAGUUUGUAACACCCAAAGUCGGUGGGGUAACC
This 1406-nucleotide ribosomal RNA is filed under the name Lactiplantibacillus plantarum. RNAcentral describes it as "bacterial SSU rRNA". It matches the Rfam family "Bacterial small subunit ribosomal RNA", at positions 64 to 1440 of the family's 1533-position model. Lineage: Bacteria; Bacillati; Bacillota; Bacilli; Lactobacillales; Lactobacillaceae. The record is from RNAcentral.